RNAcentral lists this non-coding RNA (100 nucleotides) under unclassified sequences. Its description in RNAcentral is "Termite-flg RNA". It matches the Rfam family "Termite-flg RNA". The record is from RNAcentral.
GAACGUUUCGUUCCGUACGCGGGAAUAAAGGUCGGUUGCGCGAAACCGUCUUUGAAAACCGCCCCGCGGGACGACUCCGGCAAGGAUUGCCGGUGUAAGC